This is a long non-coding RNA of Alligator sinensis (Chinese alligator), 624 nucleotides long. RefSeq lists it as uncharacterized. NCBI's taxonomy places the organism in Eukaryota, Metazoa, Chordata, Crocodylia, Alligatoridae. The record is from RefSeq and is a predicted model, not a curated record. The transcript has 3 exons.
CUCUGAACAUACAUGUCAGAGUAACUUGACAAUCUGAUCAAUUGCCAAAGUUCCCCGUCACCGACCCAAUUUCAGAUGUAAAUCAACGACUGCCGGCCCGGACAUUUCUGCCCAAACAUUUCUGCCUGAACACCUCUGCAGACCGACCUCAUGAACUCUAAGCUGUAACUAACUAAGUAUCUCUGACCUCUGUCAUUCACCACCUUGACGGCGCAACCACAGACCUUGUUGAAGCUGAUGGGCAUACUAGCCACCCUGCUAUCAGACAAAAAAUAGAAGGAACACAUGUUUUGAAUGCAAUAAGAAAGAUAACUAGAGACAGUGGAAGCCAUCACCCAAAAAAGACAGCUUUGGUAUUGGCUGAAGCAUUUCCCUGAUGAUGACUGAUUGCAAACAGAACAGCUCAGGAACAACCUGGAGUACCCUGAAUACUGGCUUACUGCUCAGAUCACAAGGGAUACCAAUACUAAGUUCCAAGGUCUGUGACUACAAUAUUUACCUCUUGUGAAAAUUAUGUAAUGCUUUAAAUUAUUAUUUGAUAUUUAAAUGUUCUUGUUGACCUUCAUUAGCAUGCCCUAAAAGCAUGCCAUAAACUUGAACUUGGUGUUGUUGAAAAACAUUUUG